UAUGGCUUAACCAUAGAACUGCUUGGGAAACUGAUAAUCUAGAGUGAGGGAGAGGCAGAUGGAAUUGGUGGUGUAGGGGUAAAAUCCGUAGAGAUCACCAGGAAUACCCAUUGCGAAGGCGAUCUGCUGGAACUCAACUGACGCUAAUGCGUGAAAGCGUGGGGAGCAAACAGGAUUAGAUACCCUGGUAGUCCACGCCCUAAACGAUGUAUACUAGUUGUUGCUAAGCUAGUCUUGGCAGUAAUGCACCUAACGGAUUAAGUAUACCGCCUGGGGAGUACGGUCGCAAGAUUAAAACUCAAAGGAAUAGACGGGGACCCGCACAAGCGGUGGAGCAUGUGGUUUAAUUCGAAGAUACGCGAAGAACCUUACCCGGACUUGAUAUCUAACAAAUCAUCUAGAGAUAGAAGAGUGUCUGCUUGCAGAAAUGUUAAGACAGGUGCUGCACGGCUGUCGUCAGCUCGUGUCGUGAGAUGUUGGGUUAAGUCCCGCAACGAGCGCAACCCACGUCAUUAGUUGCUAACAGUUC
Molecule: ribosomal RNA, 529 nt
Filed under: uncultured Campylobacter sp.
Lineage: Bacteria; Pseudomonadati; Campylobacterota; Epsilonproteobacteria; Campylobacterales; Campylobacteraceae
Description: bacterial SSU rRNA
Rfam family: Bacterial small subunit ribosomal RNA
Source: RNAcentral